CGCACCUUGCGCCCUUUGGUAUUCCGAAGGGCACACCUGUUUGAGUGUCGUGAAAUUCUCAACCCCCUUCACUUUUGUGAAAGCUGGGGCUUGGACUUGGAGGCCUUGCCGGCUUGUUCGGCUCCUCUCAAAUGCAUUAGUACGUCUCGUUGCGAUGUGCGCCUCGGUGUGAUAAUUAUCUACGCUGUGUGUGUUGCUCGCUUCUUGUGGGAUGCGCUUCAAACCGUCCGAAAGGACAACCAUCUUGAAACUUGACCUCAAAUCAGGUGGGACUACCCGCUGAACUUAA
This 289-nucleotide unclassified non-coding RNA is filed under the name Agaricomycetes sp. RNAcentral describes it as "partial contains 5.8S ribosomal RNA, internal transcribed spacer 2, and large subunit ribosomal RNA". The record is from RNAcentral. Lineage: Eukaryota; Fungi; Basidiomycota; Agaricomycetes.